CAGAGCGUGUGAUCGCGGCCGUCAAUGCCGAAAGGCGGCGGCUGAGGAAAGUCCGGGCUUCACAGGGCAGGAUGCCGGAUAACGUCCGGCAGGGGUGACCCUCGAGCAAGCGCAACAGAAAACAACCGCCCGCCUCCGGCGUGGUAAGGGUGAAAAGGCAGUGUAAGAGACUACCGGCAGACCGGUAACGGGAUGCGCGAAUGCAAGCCUCAUCCGAAGCAAGACCGAAUCGAAAGAAUAUGGCGGCCCGUCAUCUUUCAGGUUGGUCGCUAGAGCUCUCCGGUAACGGAGAGAGUCAGACAGAUGAUCACACACGACAUAACCCGGCUUACAGCUCUGCUUUU
This 344-nucleotide RNase P RNA is filed under the name uncultured Eubacterium sp. Its description in RNAcentral is "Bacterial RNase P class A". It matches the Rfam family "Bacterial RNase P class A". From Rfam's summary of the family: Ribonuclease P (RNase P) is a ubiquitous endoribonuclease, found in archaea, bacteria and eukarya as well as chloroplasts and mitochondria. Its best characterised activity is the generation of mature 5'-ends of tRNAs by cleaving the 5'-leader elements of precursor-tRNAs. The record is from RNAcentral. Lineage: Bacteria; Bacillati; Bacillota; Clostridia; Eubacteriales; Eubacteriaceae.